AUCUGUAGUCCCAGCUACUCAAGAGGCUGAGGUGGGAGAAUUGAUUGAGCCCACGAGUUCAAGGUUGCGGUUAGUUGUGAUCACACCACUGCACUCCUGGCUGGGCAGCAGAGCAAGACUCUGUCUCAAAAACAAACAAACAAACAAACAAACUGAAGAAAAGUGCUGAAAUGCAAUUCAUCCUUCAGAGACGGUUAAGAAAUGACUCAAUCCAUGAGGCCUGUCCCAACCCCAAAAAGAAAGAAUCUCUUCCUGCUCUAUGCUCUCACAUGUUGAAAAUAAAUGCCUUUGAAAAAUUAGAAGAACUUGCUAAAAGGAAAUAAAUUCAUUAAGGUGAUGGGAAACUAGCACUUAAAGAAAUGUUGAAGGCAAUUCAACUACUUUUGCCUGGACAAAAGAAUAGAAAGAAAUUAGUUUAAACCUAGAUGUAUCUGAUUUAUAUUCCCACUCUGUGAAUUCAGCAUGUUGAAUUUAUAAUACAAAGCUUCCUGUACUUACUGUAGGCCCCACCCAGGAGCUGUACAUGUAGGGAAUAUAUGCUCAUUUCAAUAUCAGCCCAAGCAAAUAUAAUCAGGAAGACUGCUUGAAAUCAUACAAUGGCUUUUCGAGUCAAAUAU
This 617-nucleotide long non-coding RNA is filed under the name Homo sapiens (human). RNAcentral's name for it is "non-protein coding lnc-OTULIN-7:1". Lineage: Eukaryota; Metazoa; Chordata; Mammalia; Primates; Hominidae. The record is from RNAcentral.